AAGUUGACGGGGGCCCGCACAAGCGGUGGAGCAUGUGGUUUAAUUCGACGCAACGCGAAGAACCUUACCAGGGCUUGACAUCCCCUGACCGCGUAUGAAAGUACGUUUUCACCCUCGGGUGACAGGGAGACAGGUGGUGCAUGGUUGUCGUCAGCUCGUGUCGUGAGAUGUUGGGUUAAGUCCCGCAACGAGCGCAACCCCUACGUUUAGUUGCUAACGCGUGAAGGCGAGCACUCUAGACGAACUGCCGUUGACAAAACGGAGGAAGGUGGGGAUGACGUCAAAUCAUCAUGCCCCUUAUGUUCUGGGCUACACACGUGCUACAAUGGCCGGUACAGACGGACGCAAAGCCGCGAGGUGGAGCAAAUCCGAAAAAGCCGGUCUCAGUUCGGAUUGCAGGCUGCAAUUCGCCUGCAUGAAGUCGGAAUCGCUAGUAAUCGCAGGUCAGCAUACUGCGGUGAAUACGUUCCCGGGCCUU
This 478-nucleotide ribosomal RNA is filed under the name uncultured Pelotomaculum sp. RNAcentral's name for it is "bacterial SSU rRNA". It matches the Rfam family "Bacterial small subunit ribosomal RNA", at positions 910 to 1382 of the family's 1533-position model. The record is from RNAcentral. Lineage: Bacteria; Bacillati; Bacillota; Clostridia; Eubacteriales; Desulfotomaculaceae.